CCCUUAGAUGUCCUGGGCUGCACGCGCGCUACACUGAUGUGUCCAGUAAGCACCUAACCUCUUCCGAAAGGAACGGGUAACCUUUGCAAAGCACAUCGUGAUGGGGAUAGAUUAUUGCAAUUAUUAGUCUUGAACGAGGAAUUCCUAGUAAGCACAAGUCAUCAGCUUGUGUUGAUUACGUCCCUGCCCGUUGUACACACCGCCCGUCGCUCCUACCGAUUGAAUGUUCCGGUGAGCUCUUCGGACUGCGCGGUCUGCAGUUUCUGCGUUCCGUGCGGAAAGUUGCGCAAACCUUAACAUUUAGAGGAAGGAGAAGUCGUAACA
RNAcentral lists this ribosomal RNA (324 nucleotides) under uncultured eukaryote. Its description in RNAcentral is "partial 18S ribosomal RNA". It matches the Rfam family "Eukaryotic small subunit ribosomal RNA", at positions 1470 to 1796 of the family's 1831-position model. The record is from RNAcentral.